CAGCAGCCGCGGUAAUACGGGGGGGACAAGCGUUGUUCGGAUUUACUGGGCGUAAAGGGCGCGUAGGCGGACCUUCAAGUCGGAUGUGAAACCCCCGGGCUUAACCCGGGGCCUGCACCCGAUACUGUUGGUCUUGAGUACAGGAGAGGAGAGUGGAAUUCCAGGUGUAGCGGUGAAAUGCGUAGAUAUCUGGAAGAACACCAGUAGCGAAGGCGGCUCUCUGGACUGAUACUGACGCUCAAGCGCGAAGGCUUGGGGAGCAAACAGGAUUAGAUACCCCGGUAGUCCUGGCCCUAAACGAUGGGCACUAGGUAGCGGGCUUCCAUGGGCCCGCUGCCGGAGCAAAAGUGUUAAGUGCCCCGCCUGGGGAGUAUGGUCGCAAGGCUGAAACUCAAAGGAAUUGACGG
This 407-nucleotide ribosomal RNA is filed under the name uncultured bacterium. RNAcentral describes it as "bacterial SSU rRNA". It matches the Rfam family "Bacterial small subunit ribosomal RNA", at positions 509 to 916 of the family's 1533-position model. The record is from RNAcentral.